CCAAAUAAUUGUAUCUUUUAUUAUUUAUUAUUAGUGGAGAUCGGUACUAGAGGGUUUGUUGCAAAAUCAACCACGUCGCUACUGUUGGAGUUUGGUUUUAGUGGUGAGAAGAGAGAAGAAGAAAUGGGGAGAAGAGAUUUGGGGUGUAUGAGAAGAAGCGUAAAGGUGAGCAGAGUAGGUUAAAGUCAAGAAGGCAGAUGGAAAUUGAGAGGUUGGUUCAGGAAAGAAGACACCUAAAAAAGCUUUGGAAACGAGCAGAUGAGGAGGGUAGGAGUGGUAUUAAUAUCUUGCAGGAAGAAUUGAAACGUAGAUUGGUAGUGUUGAGGAGAGCGGAAAAGCUUAGAUUGAGGAGAAAGAAGAAGGAACAGGCUAGGGUGGCAUUUUUUAAGGACCCAUUUAAAUUUGUGAAGUCCUUGCUUGAGCAAGAGAAGUCUGGGUGUUUAGAUGUUCCAAGGAGGGAGUUGGAGAGCUAUCUGCGGGAAAUGCACACCGAUGGUGAAAGUGAGAGGGUUUUUGAAGUACCUGCAGAUAUUCCUCCAUUAGGGGAGAUUGUGGUACAAAUGGAUGUGUGUCCUCCAAGGUUGAAAGAAGUACAAGAGGUGGUACGGCGUGCAAGGGCAGCAUCUGCUCCAGGACCCAAUGGGGUUCCUUACCGGGUGUACAAAGGUGCCCCAGACGUCUUAAAGUUUUUGUGGAAGCAGAUGAUGGUCGUAUGGAAAAAAGGUAUUAUUCCAAAGGAAUGGCGGCGAGCAGGAGGAGUGUUUAUACCCAAAGAGAAAGAUGCGGUAGAUAUAGGGCAAUUCAGGCCAAUAUGCCUUCUUAACGUUGAAGGGAAAAUAUUUUUUAGUGUUGUGGCGCAGAGGUUGUCUGCAUAUUUGUUGGUCAACAAUUUAAUUGACACCUCUGUGCAGAAGGCAGGAAUUGCGGGUUUUUCAGGCUGUUUAGAACAUUGUAGUAUGAUUUGGCAUCAGAUGAAGGAGGCCAAGAUGGAAGGUAAAGACCUCCAUGUGAUUUUUUUGGACUUGGCAAAUGCCUUUGGUUCAGUGCCGCAUGUUUUGUUGUGGAGGGCAUUUGAUUUCUUUAAAGUCCCAGAGUGUAUUACGAGACUGGUUAAGGUGUAUUUUGAAGACAUUCAGUUUUAUUUUUGUACCAAGCAAUACACCACAUCUUGGC
RNAcentral lists this long non-coding RNA (1173 nucleotides) under Scleropages formosus (Asian bonytongue). Its description in RNAcentral is "lncRNA (ENSSFOG00015024609.1)". Lineage: Eukaryota; Metazoa; Chordata; Actinopteri; Osteoglossiformes; Osteoglossidae. The record is from RNAcentral.